RNAcentral lists this long non-coding RNA (476 nucleotides) under Pongo abelii (Sumatran orangutan). Its description in RNAcentral is "lincRNA". Lineage: Eukaryota; Metazoa; Chordata; Mammalia; Primates; Hominidae. The record is from RNAcentral.
UGCCCUUUCCCCUCCAGGCUACUUCCAGACUCUGUCGGUUGUCGAGUGCCCUGGGAACCCCCUCACCCCCAAGGAGUUACUCAGUGUCCUGUGUGCUCCAGAGCUUGGUGUGUGGCAUUGGGUCUGUCUCCCGUUUGAUUCUGCAACUUCUCAGGCGCGCAUGUCGUGGCCUAUUCAUUUUCUUGUCCUCGGUGCCCAGCGCUGCGCCUGUCACACGGUGGGUGCUCCGUAGAGUGGGCUGAAGGAUGGAAGCAAUCAAUCCCCAACACGGUGGGCGUGCUUGCCGGCGGGAGACGCUUCGCUUCGAUGAAAUGCUCGGCCUCCAAGACAAGAGAAGACCUUGGCUUUGACCUUGAGGAAAAAGCAAAACUUGGACCUUGAAGACAGGCGAUUGCUAUGACUAAUUUGUGGCCAGGUGGUGUGACCUUAGGUAUGUUACAUAACCUCGCUGAGCCGCAUGGUGCUGGUGAUGAUUC